GACGAACGCUGGCGGCGUGCUUAACACAUGCAAGUCGAACGGAAAGGCCUGCUUUCCCUUGUGGAUUGCGGGUACUCGAGUGGCGAACGGGUGAGUAACACGUGAGUGAUCUGCCCCCAACUUGGGUAUAAGCCUGGGAAACUGGGUCUAAUUCCCGAUAGGACUGCAGGGUGGUGCCUGUGGUGGAAAACGAUUUUCUAGUGGUUGGGGAUGAGCUCGCGGCCUAUCAGCUUGUUGGUGGGGUAAUGGCCUACCAAGGCGGCGACGGGUAGCCGGCCUGAGAGGGUGGACGGCCAAAUUGGGACUGAGAUACGGCCCAGACUCCUACGGGAGGCAGCAGUGGGGAAUAUUGCACAAUGGGCGGAAGCCUGAUGCAGCGACGCCGCGUGGGGGAUGACGGCCUUCGGGUUGUAAACUCCUUGCGACCGCGAGGAAGCCACCUGGUUGGAAGGGUGGUGACGGUAGUGGUAGAAGAAGCACCGGCUAACUACGUG
RNAcentral lists this ribosomal RNA (494 nucleotides) under uncultured bacterium. RNAcentral describes it as "partial 16S ribosomal RNA". It matches the Rfam family "Bacterial small subunit ribosomal RNA", at positions 28 to 507 of the family's 1533-position model. The record is from RNAcentral.